Helianthus annuus (common sunflower) is the source of this 2208-nucleotide long non-coding RNA. RefSeq lists it as uncharacterized. The transcript is spliced from 14 exons. NCBI's taxonomy places the organism in Eukaryota, Viridiplantae, Streptophyta, Magnoliopsida, Asterales, Asteraceae. The record is from RefSeq and is a predicted model, not a curated record.
UGUUUCCAUUAUUCUUCUUCUUCUCGCAUAUGCUUCGAGAUUAUUAGGGUUUUUUUUCCCCUUUCCUUUGUUCGUCUUCAGCAGACACUCGACGGAAAAAACAAAGAUCGACGGUACGUAUUCUGUUCAUCAGUUACGACAACGUUUAAUAUGGGUAUCCCUACAACAGCGUCAAUACAUCAGGGCUUUUUCGUCUUUCAGCACAAAUCUUCAAAGGUGAUCUAUUGGCUUCAUCAACAAGGUUUUUAAUAUGACACAAAUUCCAACAAGGUCAGGGCUUUCUCCAGAAACCCCUUUCUCUCAUCCCAUCCAUCUGCCACAUACAUUCGAUCGUUCAUUCGUCUUCAAUCAACAUACUAGGUUGCAAGGUUGAAGGUUUCAAAUCACAGGUUGAAGAGAAGAUUACAAUGACAAGAGCAAGACUGUGUUUGGUACUACGAUAGCAAUUUUUUAUUUUAAGAUCUAUCUAAUUAUCCAUCCGUUAACCUGAAUCAAAGAUGUUUCUAACCAGAAUUGAGUAUGACAGGGGUGUCAACACCUUCUCUCUAGAAGGCCGUUUGUUUCAGGUUGAAUAUGCCAUUGAUGCCAUUAAGAGAGUGAGAGUGAGAGAAUGAUAUCCAUGUUUGUCGAACACUUUUGGUUUGUCGUGUGGGAAGUUGGACUGGGUGGUGUAAGUGGUCGGAUGUCGGUGGCGGUGGAAGCGGGACGGUGUGUAUUCACUGGCGAUGGCUUGGGUGCACACCCGGGUUUGAACAUCAACCAUACUUUGGCAGUGUCUCUAUGCGGUGCAUGCGAUUUCCAAACUCUCCCGGUUAGCAAAUGUACUGGUAUGUCAUGACCUCAUGGUUAUUUUUAUUCUCAUAAUAUUUUGUAACAAUAUGGUUUUCAAAUUUCAUCACUUCCUCGAACUAUUUGUACGGUGGUGCUAAUGGACCGUGAGCUCUACGCCAUCUGAUUUAUCUUCAACAAGAAGCGGGUCGAAGAUAACACCAUGGUCAGAAGUCAUACGUUACAAUGGUGGUGAUGAGAGAUGGUGGAAAAGAUUUGAAUUUUGGUUUCACGAUGGAUAAAUGUGUGCACUGCAAAUUGAUUAUCAUCGAGUUAAAUCAUAACCAUAGGUGUUAUUUCAAGGUUAAGAGAGAUAAACCCAUAAAGAAGGUUUUAAUGGCGUAUUACGAGCAAGUAAAUGGGUAUUAGAAACGUUGACUUUCUACUCAAUGGGUCUUGAUUUGAUACCAAUCUUACCCUUAAUCAGGUAGUGGGGAAGCAGAAGCUGUCUAACUCGCUAUAGAUAAUGUAGGACCCGAAUGGCCGGUGUUGCCAGCUAGGAUGAUUGAACCAAUUGUAGGGAAACUGGUGUAGUUAUUGGGUCAUCAUGCUACUUCAAAGCUCAAUGGAUUUUCUCAAUUUUCCACAUAAAGUGUUCGAAACAGAAAUAUAUCAGUGAUUUACUAGAUUUGGUAGAUGGAUAUUGAAGGUAGCAGUUGUUGAUGCUCCAGCCUUUGGUGACAUUGCUAUAUUAACCGGAUCCUAAACCGUUAAAGGAAUACAGAAAACAAAGAAUCACAGUUUCAGAAUCUACCUCAAGGAUUCACUUCCACGGCAAGCUCAAGAGAUGGAUAUAAUCAUCGUGAACCUGUCAUUGCGCCAACAUCUUCGAUUUCAAGUUAAGCCGUCUUCCUACCAACAAGCAAGGUUGACAUGACUCUUGGAAUUCAGUUACGGUCAACACCAGAGAUGCCUUUGCAAGAUAUGGUACAAGGUGUUGUGUAUCAUUAUCAUACUAAAAGCCCCGAAAAAAUAACCUUCCGUAAAAGUCUUAUUCCAUCAAGCUCUCCAUUGCACAAAAGAAUGUCAUUUGAAAGUCCAACAGGUCGACCUGACAACAAUGCCUAAACUACAGGGACUACGGUCCACCCUUUGCCUCUCCCUCCAGGAGCUUCUGUACUUCCACCAUCUUCCCCACCACAAAUUCGCAACAGAUCUGAUGUGGUGGCGAGACACCAAAACAAAGUCGAUGGAAAAGGGAAAGCUUUUAGGUCGUGGAACAUUCGGAACAUUCAAAGUUUAUGUACUUUAGUAUAUUCCUUUGUGUUUUAACGUGUAUAAAAUCAUAAUAUAUAUAUCAAUGAUGAUAACAAAGAUAUUUUCUUUUACCAACCCGCGAAGUUCGCGGGUUCUUAAUAAAGAUAUUUAUGGCACAAUUAA